UACAGAGGUGGCAAGCGUUGUUCGGAAUUACUGGGCGUAAAGGGCGCGUAGGCGGUCCCAUAAGUCCCGCGUGAAAUCCCCCGGCUCAACCGGGGAACUGCGCGGGAAACUGCGGGGCUUGAGUUCGGGAGAGGGAAGCGGAAUUCUCGGUGGAGAGGUGAAAUUCGUAGAUAUCGAGGGGAACACCAGUGGCGAAGGCGGCCGACUGGACGAAUACUGACGCUGAGACACGAAAGCGUGGGGAGCAAACAGG
Molecule: ribosomal RNA, 253 nt
Filed under: uncultured bacterium
Lineage: Bacteria
Description: partial 16S ribosomal RNA
Rfam family: Bacterial small subunit ribosomal RNA
Source: RNAcentral